CUUGGUCAUUUAGAGGAGUAAAAGUCGUAACAAGGUUUCCGUAGGUGAACCUGCGGAAGGAUCAUUCCUAGAGUUGUAGGCUUUGCCUGCUAUCUCUUACCCAUGUCUUUUAAGUCCUUACGUUUCCUCGGCGGGUCCGCCCGCCGAUUGGACAAUUUAAACCAUUGCAGUUGCAAUCAGCGUCUGAAAAAACUUAAUAGUUACAACUUUCAAAACGGAUCUCUUGGUUCUGGCAUCGAUGAAGAACGCAGCGAAAUGCGAUAGUAGUGUGAAUUGCAGAAUUCAGUGAAUCAUCGAAUCUUUGAACGCACUUGCGCCCCUUGGUAUUCCAUGGGGCAUGCCUGUUCGAGCGUCAUUUGUCCUUCAAGCUCUGCUUGGUGUUGGGUGUUUGUCUCGCCUCUGCGUGUAGCUCGCCCCAAAACAAUUGGCAGCCGGCGUAUUGAUUUCGGAGCGCAGUAAUCUCGCGCUUUGCACUCAUAACGACGACGUCCAAAAGUACAUUUUUACCUCUUGACCUCGGAUCAGGUAGGGAUACCCGCUGAACUUAAGCAUAUCAUAAGCGGAGGAA
RNAcentral lists this ribosomal RNA (568 nucleotides) under uncultured fungus. RNAcentral's name for it is "eukaryotic LSU rRNA". The stretch from base 205 to 355 matches the Rfam family "5.8S ribosomal RNA". Lineage: Eukaryota; Fungi. The record is from RNAcentral.